RNAcentral lists this ribosomal RNA (324 nucleotides) under uncultured eukaryote. Its description in RNAcentral is "partial 18S ribosomal RNA". It matches the Rfam family "Eukaryotic small subunit ribosomal RNA", at positions 1470 to 1796 of the family's 1831-position model. The record is from RNAcentral.
CCCUUAGAUGUCCUGGGCUGCACGCGCGCUACACUGAUGUGUCCAGUAAGCACCUAACCUCUUCCGAAAGGAACGGGUAACCUUUGCAAAGCACAUCGUGAUGGGGAUAGAUUAUUGCAAUUAUUAGUCUUGAACGAGGAAUUCCUAGUAAGCACAAGUCAUCAGCUUGUGUUGAUUACGUCCCUGCCCUUUGUACACACCGCCCGUCGCUCCUACCGAUUGAAUGUUCCGGUGAGCUCUUCGGACUGCGCGGUCUGCAGUUUCUGCGUUCCGUGCGGAAAGUUGCGCAAACCUUAACAUUUAGAGGAAGGAGCAGUCGUAACA